UUUUCUUUAUAUUAUUUGGCAGUAGUUUCUUGACUCAUUUCGGUGGUAAGCAGGGCACGAAAACACCGUUGAACGCACGAAUAUGGUUGUGUUUGAUGAUGAUGUAACUGCACUUUGGGAUAGCUUCUUGGCAAAUUACACAAAUGCUACUAGAGCGUACUGGAACCCUUAUUUUUAUGAGAUUAUGUAUCUGAAGAGAGAAUUGUUGAGGCCCGCUUAUAGAAGAUGAAUAUGAUUUGGAACUGUAUUAGGGUAGUUAGGGCCAUAGCUUUUGUAUCCAGUGGUUUUGGGCUAUAAGUUGAUGACAAAUGUUUUGUUAGGUCCUUACUGUAGGUGAUCAUUCAUAUGUAAUGGGGUACUUCAUACUUAAGUUUGUAUGGGUUGUUGGAUGUUUUAACUUAUAUGAUGUAUUAAUUAUUGAUAUAUUAGUUAUGACUUUCCGCGAUGCUUAA
Molecule: long non-coding RNA, 452 nt
Organism: Neltuma alba
Lineage: Eukaryota; Viridiplantae; Streptophyta; Magnoliopsida; Fabales; Fabaceae
Exons: 2
Source: RefSeq, a predicted model, not a curated record